CGUCUUGAGYGUAUUGUGGGUUUCUGUGUUGCAUACCUAAUAAUGGAAUCGUUUUGGUUGAUUGAAGUCCCUUUUCAUCACGUGUUGCCUUUGCGACGCAUGAUGAACCUCGAAGCGGUCUCUAUGUUCCACCAUGUUGAUGCUAGUGUCUUGAUGUUGUGGCCCAUUGAGUGUUGCUUGGUUUUGUGGAUACAGAACAUGAUUUGGGCAUAGGGUCACCUGUGACUCUUGUUUUGUCCUUUAUCAGUGUUCUCUAUAACGACGGUUCAUGCGCGCCUAGGCUCGUACCUGCGUGAUGUUCUUUGUCGAAGAGGAAUGCUACCU
RNAcentral lists this unclassified non-coding RNA (324 nucleotides) under Senecio cunninghamii var. cunninghamii. RNAcentral describes it as "partial contains external transcribed spacer and 18S ribosomal RNA". Lineage: Eukaryota; Viridiplantae; Streptophyta; Magnoliopsida; Asterales; Asteraceae. The record is from RNAcentral.